RNAcentral lists this ribosomal RNA (631 nucleotides) under uncultured Flavobacterium sp. Its description in RNAcentral is "bacterial SSU rRNA". It matches the Rfam family "Bacterial small subunit ribosomal RNA", at positions 67 to 701 of the family's 1533-position model. Lineage: Bacteria; Pseudomonadati; Bacteroidota; Flavobacteriia; Flavobacteriales; Flavobacteriaceae. The record is from RNAcentral.
GGUAGGGCAGCAAUGCCUGGAGACCGGCGCACGGGUGCGUAACGCGUAUGCAACCUACCUUUUACAGGGGGAUAGCCCAGAGAAAUUUGGAUUAAUACCCCAUGGUGUAUUUGAGUGGCAUCACUUGAUUACUAAAGUUCCAACGGUAAAAGAUGGGCAUGCGUCCUAUUAGCUAGAUGGUAAGGUAACGGCUUACCAUGGCUACGAUAGGUAGGGGUCCUGAGAGGGAGAUCCCCCACACUGGUACUGAGACACGGACCAGACUCCUACGGGAGGCAGCAGUGAGGAAUAUUGGACAAUGGGCGCAAGCCUGAUCCAGCCAUGCCGCGUGCAGGAAGACGCAUCUAUGGUGUGUAAACUGCUUUUGUACGGGAAGAAACACUCCCUCGUGAGGGAGCUUGACGGUACCGUAAGAAUAAGGAUCGGCUAACUCCGUGCCAGCAGCCGCGGUAAUACGGAGGAUCCAAGCGUUAUCCGGAAUCAUUGGGUUUAAAGGGUCCGUAGGCGGUUUGGUAAGUCAGUGGUGAAAGCCCAUCGCUUAACGAUGGAACGGCCAUUGAUACUGCCAGACUUGAAUUACUGGGAAGUAACUAGAAUAUGUAGUGUAGCGGUGAAAUGCUUAGAUAUUACA